CUCCCCUGAAGCUGUACUGCCCUCCUACAACCUGAUGAAUGCUGCUGCCAGGCUGAUCUUUCUCUCCAGUCACUCCUCUCACCCCUCUGUCGAUCUUUACACUGGCUUCCUGUCCCUUACAGGUGUCAAUUUAAAAUAUUAACCCUUACCGAUAAAGCCCUAACCAACUCUAGCCCUUCUUACAUUUCCUCACUAAUUAAUAGGUAUGUCUCCGCUCUACUGGUAACCUUCUCCUGUCUGCUGCUUACUGCAAAUUCUCGCCUGCAAGACUUCUCAU
Molecule: non-coding RNA, 277 nt
Organism: Pelobates cultripes (western spadefoot toad)
Lineage: Eukaryota; Metazoa; Chordata; Amphibia; Anura; Pelobatidae
Source: the annotation of a GenBank genome assembly